This is a long non-coding RNA of Gallus gallus (chicken), 2303 nucleotides long. RefSeq lists it as uncharacterized. The record is from RefSeq and is a predicted model, not a curated record. The transcript is spliced from 3 exons. NCBI's taxonomy places the organism in Eukaryota, Metazoa, Chordata, Aves, Galliformes, Phasianidae.
UCUAUAGUUCUAUGAUUCUAUGACAGUUACUGAGUGAGAUCUGAAACAGGAAUCUUGAACCUCAGAACAGUGUUCUGUCAUCACAUAUGAUGGAAGAAUAUUAUCAAAGUAAUCGAAUAGUAGACAAAGGGAUUUAGAACACUUACAGCUGCAUUCGGCUCUCCAGAUGAAGUUCAUGACAGCUUGAAGGAACAAAAAAGCAGCAGGCUCAGCUGCCAGCAUAGCAGCUUUCUAAGAUAGAGAGAACCAGCAAAACAAUGUUUGACAGGAACAUGAGUUCCAGCAAGUACAUUUCUUCAGGCAUCAUUCAACUCUAAAGUACGGAACAAAUAACAAGCCAGCAAACCAAGGCUGAAUGUAAAACACAGUCAAAACGAUUUGCUGCUUGGCAGAUUAUAAUGGCACUUCCCAGAUCUGUCUGUAAUUAGAGCCCCAAGCUAUGGUACUUUUGUGUGAGAAGCUAAAAAUGGGUUUGCACCACCAAGUUUACAGAGCUCAAAGGGAAACUGAAGUUCGUAAAGUGAAAAGUCUUCAAGGCCAAUGGACAAUGAAAGCCACAGCCAGAAUUGUAACUGUUCUCUGUUCAACUCUCAUUUCAAAAGUAGCAUCCACCAAAUGUGAAGCAAAACUGGAUCUUCUCAUUUGUGAUUAAGACACAACACCUCCACAUUACAUAACACCACUAUUUUUCCCUUGAUUCAUUAUUUCAUCAAGUACUGCUCUUGUGGUAGACAGGUGUCUGCCAUACACUUUAUCUCUGAAAAGAUAUCAUCUUUCAUACCAAACAUUAUAUUGUUGCUGUGCUUUCCUUUGGAAAAAAGAAACCGAAUUUAAUUGCGGUGUAAAACCUUGCAGGAAUUUGGUCAGAAACCUCAGCUGAAUCACUCCUACAAGGAAAGCUUCAUGCCAUGUACACUUCUGUCCUCACCCUUUGGGCCAGUGAAUGGAUCAGAUUCAUUACAGCAUCAACUGUCUCCCCCUUCACUUCUUGGUCAGAAAAUUUAGUAUCAGAGUCAGUUACUGCAUAUUAGAGGUGAGCAUCAGAAGUAAAAAUUACCCAUGUCAGAAUGGCUCUCAUCAGGGACAACCAAAGGGAAAAAGAAAAGGUGAAACAGAGGCCUACCUCUGGGAAGGCAGGCUGGUACUAGAGCUGUUGUGCUCUCAUCAGAAACCUCUCCUAGUUCCUGUUAUGUCAGUUGGCAAUGAUACUGCAUUAGAAAGGUGACAGACAGGACUGAAUGAGCACAGAUGACAUCACCAGAAAAGGGAAAAAAAGAAACCAAUCCACUUUGUACUAGAAAAAAAGAAGCCCUGUCCCUGUACUGGUGAUAAAGUGCCCCUUGUCUUGGGGAGCUGUGACUUGCUGGGUAAGACACAUAGGCACCUCUCUGUACCUGGAUGUAGGCCUGGAGCAUUUGGGUAAUUCUACCUGAAGUUCAAAGGGAAGACUUUAUUAAUACCUUAUUAGGAGCAGAGACUUUUCUAAGUCAGUCUAAGACAGCCUGAUCUUGGUAUCAGGGAAGUUAAUGGAGAUGAUGAUCUUGAGUGAGAUCACGUGGCAUACACAGGACAAGCAGGAGAUCAGGCCCAGCCAGUGUGGGUUGAUGACAGGCAGGUCCUGCUUGACCAACUUGAUCUUGUACGAACAGGUUAUCAGCCUACUGGAUGAGGGAAAGGCUGUGGAUGUAAUCUACCUAGAUUUCAGUAAAACCUUUGAUACCUUCUCCCAUGGUAUUCUCCUGGAAAAGCUGGUAGCCCAUAUCUUCAUCGCCUCCAGGAAUGGAGUAUCCACAAUUUCUCUGGGAACCCUGUUCCUGUGUCUCACCAUCACCUGAGAGAAAAUAUUCUCCUUAACAUUUAACCUAACUUUCCCCCCUUUAAGUUUAAAAUCAUUCAUCCAUAUUCUGUCACUGUCUGCCCAUGUAAAAAAAUUGGUCUCCGUCCUGUUUAUAAGCUCCUUUCAAGCAAGGCCACCACAACUCUGUGGAUCCUGUGGACCUGCUCCAUGAGCUUUGCAUCUUUCUUGCGCUGCGGUCCCAGAACUGGAUGCAGUACUCCACGUGGGACCUCAAAAGGACAGAGCAGAGAUCAACAAUCACCCCCUCCCUAUUGGCCACCCUUCUUUAGAUGCAGCCCAGCUUACCAUUGGCCACCUGGGCGGCAAUUGCACACUGCUGGCUCACGUCAAGCUUUUCAUCCAUCAAAACCCUUAAGUCCUUUUCCACAGGGCUGCUGUCAAGGAGUUCUUCUCCCAGUCUAUUCACAUACUGAGAAUUGCACUGAUCGUGGUGCAGCAUGUUGGA